ACACACCCACGGCCGGGGCUGCGCCGGCGAGGGACAGGGAGCCAGGCGGGAUCUGUGGGACAGGAGCCUGCCAGCGACUCUGCCCGCGCCACGGGGAGGCCGUUCCCCCGACACCGCCUCUGGUGGUGCGCAGUCCCGCAGCAAGAGUCCUAAGGAUCAAAAGCCUUGUGGAUGAGUGUCUGCAAUGGACUUUCGGGCUUCCAAGGGAAGAACAAAGUAUUAAUAAGCAGUAGUAUUGGCAAUAGCACAGCCACACUCUUCACACAAACUGAAAUACUGGCUGAUCCUUCGAAAGUCUUGCCGAUGCCAUUACUGACUCUGCUCCAGGGAGGAAAAAUAACACAGCCUCCAAAGCCAGUCACUGACCAUGUCCCAGGCAGCAAAGUACCAGUUCUGAUCCUCUGCAAGGAGGGAGGACACACUACCUGUAGCAUUAAAGGACGGAGCAGACAAGUACUGUCUAUAGAUAAAUGAACCUUAAUAUCAAUCUAAGAUUCUGCUCUUAUGGGUACAUAAAUCCUACUUAAUAUAAGCCCCGAGUUUCUGACAUUUGUGGUUGCAGCUCCAUUUACCUACAGCAGCUGGAGCCAGGAUGCCCAGUGGCAGCACAGACUUGGAAAUCAUUUAGGAUGCUCUGCAUUGGUCACCAUGCAGGGAGACUGAGACUUCUCCUGCACAGAGCAACUCAAGGGCCAUAUGUUUGGGGGAAGUGACAGUCACCUCCCGGGCCCUGGGCUCCAUUCCUGACUGCUGAUGACUCAUUAGGAAAAUUACUUCUGCUUCCGUUUCUGAGCCACCACCACCACCUAAUUUCCACUGGGUCUGUCAGUCCAUUCAGGAGCACAGCAACCCCUGCAAGGAAUUGCCACCCUGGCUUGGGAAUCGCUGUUCCAGAGGUCACAAGAGAACUUUAUUAAUACUCAUUGCAUUAACCUCCCAGCUAGCCAGUGACAGAAAUGCCAUUUCUCCCAUUUUAUAGCUGAGAAAAAUGAAGCGUAGACAGAUCCAUCACCUGGUUACAGAGUCAAUGGGAACUCUUAAUGCUCCAUAAAUCUGAAAAUUAGGCUGUCAGCAGCUUCUCCUGAAGCAAACCUGCAGCAAAGCUAUCCAGGAGCCCCAGUUCCUACCCAUCAG
Molecule: long non-coding RNA, 1134 nt
Organism: Chiroxiphia lanceolata (lance-tailed manakin)
Lineage: Eukaryota; Metazoa; Chordata; Aves; Passeriformes; Pipridae
Exons: 3
Source: RefSeq, a predicted model, not a curated record